CCAACAGUUGCCAGCUCGUCCUCCGGGAUGGAGGGGACACUGUUGGGACCGCUCUGCUAAAGAGGAGGAAGGAAUGGGCAACGUAGGUCAGCAUGCCCGAAUUAAUUGGGCUACACGCGGGCUACAAUGGGUGGGACAAUGGGUAUCGACACCGAAAGGUGAAGGCAAUCUCCUAAACCCAUCCGUAGUUCGGAUUGUGGGCUGCAACUCGCCCACAUGAAGCUGGAAUCUGUAGUAAUCGUGUCUCAAAAUGGCACGGUGAAUAUGUCCCUGCGUCCUU
Molecule: ribosomal RNA, 280 nt
Filed under: uncultured Methanomicrobiales archaeon
Lineage: Archaea; Methanobacteriati; Methanobacteriota; Methanomicrobia; Methanomicrobiales
Description: partial 16S ribosomal RNA
Rfam family: Archaeal small subunit ribosomal RNA
Source: RNAcentral